ACUCAAAGGAAUUGACGGGGGCCCGCACAAGCGGAGGAACAUGUGGUUUAAUUCGAUGAUACGCGAGGAACCUUACCCGGGCUUAAAUGUAGGCUGCAUGAGGUGGAAACACCCUUCCCUUCGGGGCUGCCUACAAGGUGCUGCAUGGUUGUCGUCAGCUCGUGCCGUGAGGUGUCGGGUUAAGUCCCAUAACGAGCGCAACCCCUAUCGUUAGUUGCCAUCGGGUGAAGCCGGGAACUCUAGCGAGACUGCCACCGUAAGGUGAGAGGAAGGUGGGGAUGACGUCAAAUCAGCACGGCCCUUAUGUCCGGGGCUACACACGUGUUACAAUGGACGGUACAGAGGGCCGCUACCCCGCGAGGGGAUGCCAAUCUCGAAAGCCGUUCUCAGUUCGGAUCGCAGUCUGAAACCCGACUGCGUGAAGUUGGAUUCGCUAGUAAUCGCGCAUCAGCCAUGGCGCGGUGAAUACGUUCCCGGGCCUUGUACACACCGCCCGU
Molecule: ribosomal RNA, 497 nt
Filed under: uncultured bacterium
Lineage: Bacteria
Description: bacterial SSU rRNA
Rfam family: Bacterial small subunit ribosomal RNA
Source: RNAcentral